CGCCGACGGAGGAACUUCUCCCUGAAACUGCUGUGGCAUCGAAAACCUCCCUCUCGUCCCCGCCUUGACGUCUUCCAUUGUAAUUGGCAUACUCUCCAUUAAAGACCCACUCGCUGGCCUCAGAUCGACUUCGCCCUUACGUGCACAUCUUAUUGGAGGAAGUUCUGCCAAGCGCUUCGCCGGAUCGAACUUCGCUAGCGAGGCUCAGGCCACCUGUAUUCAGCGAGCUCUGCUUCUUGAGACAAUGUUCCUUACGAGCGAUCGCUUCACUUGAUCAGCAUUCGCGAAGUGUUCCUCGCUAGCACUCGCUUCGCGGCCAGUCCCUGAUGUCCUCGCGACCAUCUCGCUUAGCGGCCAUCUCUUCGCGGUCAUCUGCUUUCGCUCGCGGCCUCGCGCUCUUCGCGGUCGCCUCUUAUGCGCCG
Molecule: long non-coding RNA, 422 nt
Filed under: Rosa chinensis
Lineage: Eukaryota; Viridiplantae; Streptophyta; Magnoliopsida; Rosales; Rosaceae
Description: sRNA RchiOBHm_Chr2g0162771
Source: RNAcentral